RNAcentral lists this unclassified non-coding RNA (1477 nucleotides) under Hevea brasiliensis (rubber tree). Lineage: Eukaryota; Viridiplantae; Streptophyta; Magnoliopsida; Malpighiales; Euphorbiaceae. The record is from RNAcentral.
GCCGUCUCCACUGCUUGGAGACAUCGAUCUUCGCCACCGCAAAUCUCUCUCUUUUUCACACACCCUUUUCACCAUCUGCAGUUUUACCCAUAACUUCUACCAAACCUGCGAGCCUUCUUUUUGAGAAUUUCAAGAAAUCAGCAUCAAGAACACCAACUAGAACAAGUGCCAACAACCCCACAACUAAGGUGUUGGCUAGUGGUGUAUCUACUGCGGCAGUAGAUGGAGAAGCUGAUGUUGAAGUUGCAGAGGGUUAUACAAUUACUCAGUUUUGUGAUAAAAUGAUUGAUUUGUUCCUAAAUGAAAAACCCAAGUCAAAAGAUUGGAGAAAAUACUUGGUUUUUCGAGAAGAGUGGAAGAAGUACGGGGAUAGAUUUUACAGUAGGUGUCGAACUCGAGCUGACACAGAAGAUGAUUCUCAAAUGAAGGAAAAGUUAAUUAGCUUGGCUAGAAAAGUUAGGAAGAUUGAUGAUGAAAUGGAAAGGCAUACUGAACUUCUCAAAGAGAUACAAGAUAACCCCAGGGAUUUGAAUGCAAUUGUUACAAAGAGGCGCAAGGAUUUCAAUGGUGAAUUCUUUCGGCAUCUGUCUUUGCUUUCAGAAACUUAUAACAGCUUGGAGGACCGAGAUGCAUUUGCCAGACUUGGGACUAGAUGCUUGUCUGCAGUCAGUGCUUAUGACAACACACUGGAGAUUGUGGGAACAUUAGAUACUGCCCAGGCCAAAUUCGAUGACAUCUUGAACUCUACGUCAGUGGAUGCAGCAUGUGACAAGAUUAAAAGCCUUGCCAAGAGUAAAGAACUUGACUCUUCUUUGGUGCUGCUGAUAAAUGGUGCUUGGGCUUCAGCAAAAGAAUCCUCUACAAUGAGAAAUGAGGUAAAGGAGAUAAUGCAUCGUCUAUACAAAGCUACACAGAGUAGUCUAAGGAGCAUGGCACCAAAAGAAAUAAAGUUGCUCAAGUACCUGCUGAACAUCACAGAUCCUGAAGAGCGAUUCUCAGCAUUGGCAACAGCUUUCAGCCCUGGUCAUGAACAUGAUGCCAAGGAUCCUAAUGCUAUAUACACAAGUCCAAAAGAGUUGCACAAGUGGAUCAAAAUCAUGCUUGAUGCAUACAACAUGAAUAAAGAAGAGACUGAAAUUAGAGAAGCCAAGCAGUUGGAUCAACCUAUGGUCAUUCAGAGACUUUCCAUUCUGAAGGAGACAGUUGAAGCAGAAUAUUUGGAAAAAGAAGCUAAUACAGAAAAAGAUUCACAACCAGAAGAAACUGUGAUAUGACAACCCAGUCCACCGGCGUAUCUGUUGUUCUUGCUCACUGUCUGUUCUCUUCUCAAAAUUAGCUUUCUUUGAUGAUUUGUGUAUCUCUCAGCAUGCAGUAGGAUGGAUGGCUGGUUGCAAUAGUAAAGCAAUUAUGUAUAGUUGGUUUUUGUAGAAAUAGCAAAGAGGCGUUUUCCCUUUUAUGUAUGUGAUCAGAACACUCG